UCAAGUUUAUAAGGAAAGUCAAUAAUAUUCAGUAUGGGACGAUUACCCUUGGGACGAAUUGACAUAUCUACAUUAAAAUAGAUAAUAUUGGUUUCCUUCCCCAAUGCUUCAAAAUGACCCUGUCAACGGACGUUCACAGGCCUACCUAACUUCCGGAUAGACGCCAUGUUGGAGAAUACCGGUCAUGUUCAAAGACAUCGGAUGCAAAUUAUGCAUUUUGAAGCACAUGUUAUGCCUCUUCAUCGUUAUUCAAAUGAGCGACCAUAACCAGUUGUUUGUGUACUUCAACGCAUGAUGUAUCAUUGAAAACGUUCAAUGGAAAUACAGGGAAUCCAACACCCUAGCUGACUUUGCAAUUUUUCAUACAGACUAUGAAAACAGUAUUCUUUAAUUCUUUAAAACCUUGUAGUUUUGUUACAAAUUACUUUUCAUCCACUAUAUGCAUGAAUGAAAGAAGGUAAGAUAUCAAAGUUAUAAUCAAAUAGUUAUUAUUUUUUAACUGGUGAGAAAAGUUGUAUGUAAUAUU
Molecule: long non-coding RNA, 526 nt
Organism: Mytilus californianus (California mussel)
Lineage: Eukaryota; Metazoa; Mollusca; Bivalvia; Mytilida; Mytilidae
Exons: 3
Source: RefSeq, a predicted model, not a curated record